This is a long non-coding RNA of Ctenopharyngodon idella (grass carp), 3058 nucleotides long. RefSeq lists it as uncharacterized. The transcript is spliced from 7 exons. NCBI's taxonomy places the organism in Eukaryota, Metazoa, Chordata, Actinopteri, Cypriniformes, Xenocyprididae. The record is from RefSeq and is a predicted model, not a curated record.
AUAAUAAUAAUAAUUUCAAACAUCUGGUACAGGCCAAGUGAGUGGAGUAACAUAAAAUAAAUUAAUUAAAGAACAUGUAAUUGACAAAGAAAUAUAAAAUGCAUGGCAUUGAAGACAAUGAAAUAGUAAAGGAUACUUUGGCCACCAGAUGGCCCCAAACGUACACCAUAUCGAGGAAAUCCCCAAAUAAUACCUUUAGACCACAUUAUCUUUGGAAGGCCAUAUUUCUUUCGCUCAGACUAAAUACUUGGGGUUUCGAGUCUGACGACAGCACGAGGGCGUGGCUUGUUCGCAAGGUCAAGGAUCAUGCGCCGUUUACAUGCCCCGAAAAGACGGCGAAACAGCCCCAGGGGAACAACGUCGAUCUAGAUUACUUAAAGGUCCUCUGUUUCCUGUGCAUAAUGGCAGAGGCAGACCAGACCAGAAAUACUCUAGAAUGGCUCCCUGGUUGUUUUAAAGUGCUGAACAUCAAAAAAAAAAACACUGUGUCUGGCACCAAUAAAUCGGACCUCAGCACUGUACUAGAAUGCCACAAGAGAGAAACACUGACAUCUUUCAUUGUUUGGUCUGAUGAUAAAAGAAAGAAAGAAAAAGGGCCACAUCGUCUGGUUUGACAGGUGGAAGAUUUGUCAGAGGAUGUACCACUUACCACACGUACCACCUACCUAAGCAUUGUUGCAGACCAUGUACACCCUUUUAUGGAAACUGUAUUCCCUGGUGGCUGUGGCCUCUUUCAGCAGGAUAAUGCUUCUGCCACAAAGCAAAAAUGGUUCAGGAAUGGUUUGAGGAGCACAACGAGUUUGUGGUGCGUUCUCCCAAAUGAAAUGGAUUUUCCUUCCAAUCAAUGUGAGCGACAAUCACUGGAUACUUCUGGUAGCUGAUGUUUCAAAUAUGGAAGUAUGAAUACUGGACUCAAUGUUGGGAAACAAUGUCUUGUAUGUUGAUAUGUGGAGGAGGUAUAUGGCUGUGAGGUACAGUCAUACCAAUGAAUUGGGAGGAUUCUGGGAAUAUGGUGGUCUCUGCUCUGCACCACAAAAAGAUGCCAGCAGUUGGGGGGCUUUUGUACUACUGAAUGCUCUUGCCCUGACGAGAGGCAUCAGUCCAAGCCAGCUGACACAGCGCCAUGCAGUGGAAAUGAGGAAGUUUGUGUACCACAAACUCAAACAAAAUGCAUUAUGUUAAAGGUUUAGGUAACCCAAAAAUGAAAAUUCUGUCAUUAAUUACUCGUCCUCAUGUCAUUCCACACCCGUAAGACCUUCGUUCAUCUUCAGAACACAAAUUAAGAUAUUUUUGAUAAAAUCUGUGAGGUUUCUGAUUCCCAAGAGACAGCAACAUAAUUACCACAUUCAUAGAUGCAAACUCCUCACCUUUCAGUGACAACUCCCCUUUUUGAGAUCAAAAUGGGUCACUUAUGGGAUUUGCAUAGAUCCAAUGUUUUUAUGGGGUGCGGGGGUCUGAGAUGUGGGAACGGUGAAGAGAGAGAGGGCAAACAGUUUGCAGUUUAGCUCAGUAUUGCCGUCUAAUCAGCCAAUAUUGUCUUAAAUAGCCAUAGCACUUCAUCUUUUUAUAACAUGAGGUUUUGACCAAAUGUAGCCUAUUCAAUCUUGAUUUUGGUGAAAUGUUGCAACAUUUUUUUGUGUGUGUGUGAAAUUACAGUUUUGGACAUACAUGGUAAUAACAAAUAAAUUAAAAAAUCAAAGUAACUACAAAUGAGCAUGUAGUAAAAGUAGUAAAAACAUAAUAGAAAUAAAAACUAAAAUAGUCAAUGUGACUACAGUGGUUCAGCCUUAAUGUUAUGAAACAAAAAUAAUGACUUUGUUUAAUUUCUUCUCUUACCUGUCCUACUCUGUUUACGUUGUAGAGACAGAGCAGUGCUUCCGGGUUCUACAUCAGAACGCCGGCUCAUAAUUGGUCUGCCUCAGUAUCACACACAUGCGUUGUGUUGCUCAUGUGAAGAACAUCGGCCAAAUUGAGAUUCUCGUUCUGAUGUAUAACCUGGAAGCGCUGCACUGUCUCUACAACUGUCUCUGUAAUUAAUGACAGAAAUUAAAUUUUUGGGUGAACUAACCCUUUAAUAUUUGUUCUUUUCUUCCCUUGAGUGCUUUCCCUACUUUUUACUUUCUUUCAUAGUGUCACAGCACCUGACUCUGUGUUUACCGUUACGUCAUUGACCCCAUCUCCAAUGUGUUUGCUGCACCGUGGCAUAAAAUUGGAGUCAAGACGCCACUCGCGAGGCCUUCUGUUGUUGUGUUAUAGCCUCUGUCUGUUUUCUAGGGACUACAGUGUAGACCCUGUGAGAUUAGAUUAGCAUGUUCCCAGUUUGUGUAACUGUACUCUUGUGUAUCUGUAAUCAUUCAUCUUGCCUCUCAUGUCCCUUGACCAAUUCUCCUCCCCUUCCCAAUUUGUUACUCAUUUGUAAUUUGUAAUAACUUUUUUUGCAUAUGUGUAAAUAGUAUAUUUUAUUUUUUAUUUCUAUUUCUUCAUUGUAAACACAUUUUUCCCUUCUCAUGCUAUUUUCAUACCCUUACAUAUUGUAAAUAAAUCAUUUGCUUGUUCAGACUUGUGUCCUUGCCUUGUACACAUCACCUGGUUAUGACAUAUUUGUGUAUGUGUCUUCUCCCAAGUUUAAUGUUACAACCCUUUACCCCUUGAUUCAACACUAUCAGGGGUUGUAACAGUUGGUUUUGUGUUCCAGGAGUAGCAGAGGGUUACUUAAGUUUCAUUGAGUUUGUUGUUCUCUGGGUGCAUAUAAAUGAAUUGCAUUCCAAAUAACAAUUUAACCACACAAAAUACUCUUGUCUUUUGUAUUAACAUGCAAAUUGUGUAAACUUGAUUACCUUUAGAUAUGUUACUGAACACCAUGUAUUAUUUUGUACUAUGAAUUUGUGUGAGAGACCAGUGAAGAGUGCAUGUUUAACAUUUUAUUGAAACAUCUAUAAAUGCCUCCUAAGCUAAUAGAUGUGAUUGACACAUUUAACUGCCUUCUAUAAACGUUUACUUUUGAAUAAACAGUCCUUUUAACAAUACAAUGUUAAUAUAGUUCAGAUUUAUUACACUG